GAUGAACGCUGGCGGCGUGCUUAACACAUGCAAGUCGAACGGAAAGGCUCCUGCUUGCAGGUGUUCUCGAGUGGCGAACGGGUGAGUAACACGUGGGUGAUCUGCCCUGCACUUCGGGAUAAGACUGGGAAACUGGGUCUAAUACCGGAUAGGACCACAUUUUGGAUGGUGUGGUGGAAAGUUUUGCGGUGUGGGCUGAGCUAGCGGCCUAUCAGCGUGUUGGUGGGGUAAUGGCCUACGAAGGCGUCGACGGGUAGCCGGCCUGAGAGCGGGUACGGGCACAUUAGUCCUGCGAUAGGCACCAGACGCGAACGGGGGACAGCAGGCGCGAGUCUUGUACAGUCAUCGCGAGUGUGAUGAAGAGACGCUGCGUGUGUGAUGACCGCCUUCGGGGUGUAAACACCUGUAGCUAGGGACGAAGCGCAAGUGACGGUACCUGGAGAAGAAGCACCGGCUAACUACGUG
This 465-nucleotide ribosomal RNA is filed under the name uncultured bacterium. RNAcentral describes it as "partial 16S ribosomal RNA". It matches the Rfam family "Bacterial small subunit ribosomal RNA", at positions 28 to 507 of the family's 1533-position model. The record is from RNAcentral.